Molecule: ribosomal RNA, 271 nt
Filed under: uncultured prokaryote
Description: partial 16S ribosomal RNA
Rfam family: Bacterial small subunit ribosomal RNA
Source: RNAcentral
UACGUAGGUGGCAAGCGUUAUCCGGAAUUAUUGGGCGUAAAGAGCGCGCAGGUGGUUGAUUAAGUCUGAUGUGAAAGCCCACGGCUUAACCGUAGAGGGUCAUUGGAAACUGGUCAACUUGAGUGCAGAAGAGGCAAGUGGAAUUCCCAGUGUAGCGGUGAAAUGCGUAGAUAUUGGGAAGAACACCGGUGGCGAAGGCGACUUGCUGGGCAGCAACUGACGCUGAGGCGCGAAAGCCAGGGGAGCAAACGGGAUUAGAUACCCGGGUAGU